Molecule: long non-coding RNA, 194 nt
Organism: Alosa alosa (allis shad)
Lineage: Eukaryota; Metazoa; Chordata; Actinopteri; Clupeiformes; Clupeidae
Exons: 3
Source: RefSeq, a predicted model, not a curated record
CAGCUGCUGGGGUGUGCUCAGUAAUGCGAUGCAGUGUCCACGAGAGAAUACCAUGCAAAUGAUUGGCUGAGAUGUUUCCUAUUCAUCCACUAGGGGGCCACACUGAGCUAGAGAUGUCUAAAACAGAUGCUGACGUUCUCUCCCGUCUCUCUCCAACAGCUGAAUCACCAAGCAGAUGGAGCGUUUAACACCUU